RNAcentral lists this ribosomal RNA (838 nucleotides) under Knufia sp. LS-2015c. RNAcentral's name for it is "SSU rRNA". It matches the Rfam family "Eukaryotic small subunit ribosomal RNA", at positions 250 to 1093 of the family's 1831-position model. Lineage: Eukaryota; Fungi; Ascomycota; Eurotiomycetes; Chaetothyriales; Trichomeriaceae. The record is from RNAcentral.
UUCAUAAUAACUUAACGAAUCGCAUGGCCUUGCGCCGGCGAUGGUUCAUUCAAAUUUCUGCCCUAUCAACUUUCGAUGGUAAGAUAGUGGCUUACCAUGGUCUCAACGGGUAACGGGGAAUUAGGGUUCUAUUCCGGAGAGGGAGCCUGAGAAACGGCUACCACAUCCAAGGAAGGCAGCAGGCGCGCAAAUUACCCAAUCCCAAUUCGGGGAGGUAGUGACAAUAAAUACUGAUACAGGGCUCUUUUGGGUCUUGUAAUUGGAAUGAGUACAAUCUAAAUCCCUUAACGAGGAACAAUUGGAGGGCAAGUCUGGUGCCAGCAGCCGCGGUAAUUCCAGCUCCAAUAGCGUAUAUUAAAGUUGUUGCCGUUAAAAAGCUCGUAGUUGAACCUUGGGCCUGGCUGAUCUGUCCUCCUAAUCGAGCGCACGGAUUCGGUCGGGCCUUUCCUUCUGGGGAGCCCGAUGCCCUUCACUGGGCGUCGUGGGGAACCAGGACUUUUACCUUGAAAAAAUUAGAGUGUUCAAAGCAGGCCUUUGCUCGAAUACAUUAGCAUGGAAUAAUAGAAUAGGACAGAGGUUCUAUUUUGUUGGUUUCUAGGACCGCUGUAAUGAUUAAUAGGGAUAGUCGGGGGCGUCCGUAUUCAAUUGUCAGAGGUGAAAUUCUUGGAUUUAUUGAAGACGAACUACUGCGAAAGCAUUCGCCAAGGAUGUUUUCAUUAAUCAGUGAACGAAAGUUAGGGGAUCGAAGACGAUCAGAUACCGUCGUAGUCUUAACCAUAAACUAUGCCGACUAGGGAUCGGACGGUGGUUUUUUUAUGCCCCGUUCGGCACCUUACGA